GCUCAGUUGGUAAAGCACAAGGCUCUUAACCUUGUGGACGUGGAUUCAAAUCCCAU
RNAcentral lists this transfer RNA (56 nucleotides) under Triticum aestivum (bread wheat). It matches the Rfam family "tRNA", at positions 10 to 63 of the family's 71-position model. Rfam says of the family: Transfer RNA (tRNA) molecules are approximately 80 nucleotides in length. Their secondary structure includes four short double-helical elements and three loops (D, anti-codon, and T loops). The record is from Rfam by way of RNAcentral. Lineage: Eukaryota; Viridiplantae; Streptophyta; Magnoliopsida; Poales; Poaceae.